UACGUAGGGUGCGAGCGUUGUCCGGAUUUAUUGGGCGUAAAGAGCUCGUAGGUGGCCUGUCGCGUCGGCUGUGAAAACUCGGGGCUCAACUCCGAGCUUGCAGUCGAUACGGGCAGGCUAGAGUUCGGCAGGGGAGACUGGAAUUCCUGGUGUAGCGGUGAAAUGCGCAGAUAUCAGGAGGAACAUCGGCGGCGAAGGCGGGUCUCUGGGCCGAUACUGACGCUGAGGAGCGAAAGCGUGGGGAGCGAACAGG
Molecule: ribosomal RNA, 253 nt
Filed under: uncultured bacterium
Lineage: Bacteria
Description: partial 16S ribosomal RNA
Rfam family: Bacterial small subunit ribosomal RNA
Source: RNAcentral